AGAGUUUGAUCCUGGCUCAGAGCGAACGCUGGCGGCAGGCCUAACACAUGCAAGUCGAACGAAGCCUUCGGGCUUAGUGGCGGACGGGUGAGUAACACGUGGGAACGUACCUUUUGGUUCGGAACAACACAGGGAAACUUGUGCUAAUACCGAAUGUGCUCUUCGGAGGAAAGAUUUAUCGCCAUUAGAGCGGCCCGCGUUGGAUUAGGUAGUUGGUGUGGUAAAGGCGCACCAAGCCUACGAUCCAUAGCUGGUCUGAGAGGAUGAUCAGCCACACUGGGACUGAGACACGGCCCAGACUCCUACGGGAGGCAGCAGUGGGGAAUCUUGCGCAAUGGGCGAAAGCCUGACGCAGCCAUGCCGCGUGAAUGAUGAAGGUCUUAGGAUUGUAAAAUUCUUUUAGCAGGGACGAUAAUGACGGUACCUGCAGAAAAAGCCCCGGCUAACUUCGUG
RNAcentral lists this ribosomal RNA (453 nucleotides) under uncultured Asticcacaulis sp. Its description in RNAcentral is "bacterial SSU rRNA". It matches the Rfam family "Bacterial small subunit ribosomal RNA", at positions 8 to 507 of the family's 1533-position model. Lineage: Bacteria; Pseudomonadati; Pseudomonadota; Alphaproteobacteria; Caulobacterales; Caulobacteraceae. The record is from RNAcentral.